RNAcentral lists this unclassified non-coding RNA (474 nucleotides) under uncultured fungus. RNAcentral's name for it is "partial contains small subunit ribosomal RNA, internal transcribed spacer 1, and 5.8S ribosomal RNA". The stretch from base 1 to 73 matches the Rfam family "Eukaryotic small subunit ribosomal RNA", at positions 1759 to 1831 of the family's 1831-position model. Lineage: Eukaryota; Fungi. The record is from RNAcentral.
UCAAACUUGGUCAUUUAGAGGAAGUAAAAGUCGUAACAAGGUCUCCGUAGGUGAACCUGCGGAGGGAUCAUUAACGAAUGGUCUUGGUACCUUCAAAACCCCUCAAACCAGUGGACAUGAAAAAUGUGCUUCGGCGCUCCGGCGCCGCUUUUAUGCUGUAAUUCUGUCGUUUGUGUCUGAAUACAAAACAAAGAAUUAAAACUUUCAACAAAGGAUCUCUUGGCUCUCAAACUUGGUCAUUUAGAGGAAGUAAAAGUCGUAACAAGGUCUCCGUAGGUGAACCUGCGGAGGGAUCAUUAACGAAUGGUCUUGGUACCUUCAAAACCCCUCAAACCAGUGGACAUGAAAAAUGUGCUUCGGCGCUCCGGCGCCGCUUUUAUGCUGUAAUUCUGUCGUUUGUGUCUGAAUACAAAACAAAGAAUUAAAACUUUCAACAAAGGAUCUCUUGGCUCUCGCAUCGAUGAAGAACGCAGC